AAAGGUUUGGUCCUGGCCUUAUAAUUAGUUGGAGAUAAGAUUACACAUGCAAAACUCCCUAAGCCAGUGUCAAAUCCCUUAGAACUUUUAUAUAAACCUAAGGAGAGGGCAUCAAGCACAUUAAAUAAUAGCUUAAGACGCCUUGCCUAGCCACGCCCCCACGGGACCCAGCAGUGAUAAAAAUUAAGCAAUGAACGAAAGUUUGACUAAGCUAUAUCUCCAGAGGGUUGGUAAAUUUCGUGCCAGCCACCGCGGUCAUACGAUUAACCCAAACUAAUUACCCACGGCGUAAAACGUGUCCAUAGGAAUAAAAAAAUAGAAUUAAAAGUCAACCAAUAUGUGAAAAUUCAUCGCUGAAUUUAAAAACACUAACGAAAGUAAUUCUAAUUAACUUAAUACACGAUAGCUAAGAUCCAAACUGGGAUUAGAUACCCCACUAUGCUUAGCCCUAAACCCUAAUAACUUAAUAACAAAAUUAUUUGCCCGAGAACUACUGGCCACAGCUUAAAACUCAAAGGACUUGGCGGUACUUUAUAUCCAUCUAGAGGAGCCUGUUCUAUAAUCGAUAAACCCCGUUAUACCUUACCAUUCCUUGCUAAUUCAGCCUAUAUACCGCCAUCUUCAGCAAACCUUAAAAAAGAACAACAGUAAGCAAGAGAAUCACCAUAAAAACGUUAGGUCAAGGUGUAGCCUAUGGAAUGGGAAGUAAUGGGCUACAUUUUCUAUAUAAGAACAUUACGAAACCCUUUAUGAAACCUAAAGGACAAAGGAGGAUUUAGUAGUAAAUUAAGAAUAGAGUGCUUAAUUGAAUAGCGCAAUGAAGUACGCACACACCGCCCGUCACCCUCCUCAAAUUAAACGAACACAAUACAAAUACAUAAUACAAUUAACAAGUUUAUGAGAGGAGAUAAGUCGUAACAAGGUAAGCGUACUGGAAAGUGUGCUUGGAACAAC
Molecule: non-coding RNA, 954 nt
Filed under: Neotoma mexicana (Mexican woodrat)
Lineage: Eukaryota; Metazoa; Chordata; Mammalia; Rodentia; Cricetidae
Description: 12S ribosomal RNA
Rfam family: Bacterial small subunit ribosomal RNA
Source: RNAcentral